GUUUGAAUGAUGACUUGGAUUGUCGGAUACCCCUUCACCCCCUUCAUGGGUGAGACAAAACAGCCUGACAAAC
RNAcentral lists this small nucleolar RNA (73 nucleotides) under Microtus ochrogaster (prairie vole). Its description in RNAcentral is "Small nucleolar RNA SNORD101 (ENSMOCG00000007712.1)". It matches the Rfam family "Small nucleolar RNA SNORD101". From Rfam's summary of the family: snoRNA U101 is a member of the C/D class of snoRNA which contain the C (UGAUGA) and D (CUGA) box motifs and guide the 2'-O-methylation of rRNA and snRNAs. The precise target of this family is unknown. Lineage: Eukaryota; Metazoa; Chordata; Mammalia; Rodentia; Cricetidae. The record is from RNAcentral.